AGACGUCUACAUUAGAUACCCGUGUAGUCCCAGCCGUAAACUAUGCGCGUUAGGUGUAUCGGUGACCACGAGUCACCGAGGUGCCGAAGGGAAACCGUGAAACGUGCCGCCUGGGAAGUACGGUCGCAAGGCUGAAACUUAAAGGAAUUGGCGGGGAGCACAACAACAGGUGGAGCCUGCGGUUUAAUUGGACUCAACGCCGGGAAGCUCACCGGAUAGGACAGCAGAAUGAUUGCCGGGCUGAAGACCCUGCAUGACUAGCUG
RNAcentral lists this ribosomal RNA (264 nucleotides) under uncultured archaeon. RNAcentral's name for it is "partial 16S ribosomal RNA". It matches the Rfam family "Archaeal small subunit ribosomal RNA", at positions 717 to 982 of the family's 1478-position model. The record is from RNAcentral.